AGUGGAUCAACUCAAUACAAGCAGACGAAAACGGAGGCCAAAGUUCAUGCUGUGCGACCGCAUAGCAUAAAAGUCGUACGGCCGCACGACCCUGCCAGAACAUAAUUGAGGCAGCUUCAACUCCACCAUGUGACCGUAAGGAAAACCACCAUGCGGCCGCAUGGGUCACUUUCGAGGAGAAAUUUUCUUUUUUUUUUUCCACGAAUUUCCUUAUUUUGUUAGAAUUUGAUAUCAAUUAGACUUCUUUCCAUAUUCUGAAGAUUUUAGCUAGGAUUUUAGUUUUAGUAUAAAUACUCUCUCCAUUACAUUGUAAAAGGACUUUUGGCAAUUAUUAUUGAAUUCAAGAGAGGCUUUUGCUUUCUUCCAAUUUGUUCUUCUUUGAACAAUAAUUUAAAACUUAUCAAGGAUAAUUCCUUGUGGCAUUCAACACCGGAUCGUGG
RNAcentral lists this long non-coding RNA (440 nucleotides) under Olea europaea (common olive). Its description in RNAcentral is "long non-coding RNA (OEUR_LNC013101)". The record is from RNAcentral. Lineage: Eukaryota; Viridiplantae; Streptophyta; Magnoliopsida; Lamiales; Oleaceae.